GAUGAACGCUGGCGGCGUGCCUAAUACAUGCAAGUCGAGCGAACGGACGAGAAGCUGGCUUUUCUGAUGUUAGCGGCGGACGUGUGAGUAACAUGUGGUUAACCUACCUAUAAGACUAGGAUAACUUCGGGAAACCGGAGCUAAUACCGGGUAAUAUUUUGAACCUCAUGGUUCAAAAGUUAAAGAUGGUCUUGCUUUCACUUAUAGAUGGAUCCGCGCUUCAUUAGCUAGUUGGUAAGGUAACGGCUUACCAAGGCAACGAUGCAUAGCCGACCUGAGAGGGUGAACGGCCACACUGGAACUGAGACACGGUACAGACUCCUACGGGAGGCAGCAGUAGGGAAUCUUCCGCGAUGGGCGAAAGACUGCAGGAGCAACGCCGCGUGAGUGAUGAAGGUCUUCGGAUCGUAAAACUGUGUUAUUAGGGAAGAACAUAUGUGUAAGUAACUGUGCACAUCUUGACGGUACCUAAACAGGAAGCCACGGCUAACUACGUG
This 497-nucleotide ribosomal RNA is filed under the name uncultured bacterium. RNAcentral describes it as "partial 16S ribosomal RNA". It matches the Rfam family "Bacterial small subunit ribosomal RNA", at positions 28 to 507 of the family's 1533-position model. The record is from RNAcentral.